UUUUCUGAUAGACAUAUCAGCAAAUCUAUCAGGUGUCUAUCAACUAGAAAAGUACAGUAGCAGGAGCAGGAUAUUGGGUAGAAGAGAACUUGAUAUGUAAUCUCAAAUGGCGCAGCAGGAAGCUGUUUAGUGGGAGGGUGAGAUUGCAGCUGGACUAUAAAGUGGGUUAUAGGUUCUAUGAUUGGUUAAGUAAUCUGAUGUGCUGUCUUACUGAUGUGAACUGAGAUAAACAAUAUUAUGUUACUUUGUAUAUGCAAAAACUCAGAUAAACUAAUAAAAUUUUACU
Long non-coding RNA from Vicia villosa (hairy vetch), 286 nucleotides. RefSeq lists it as uncharacterized. The transcript is spliced from 2 exons. The record is from RefSeq and is a predicted model, not a curated record. Lineage: Eukaryota; Viridiplantae; Streptophyta; Magnoliopsida; Fabales; Fabaceae.